GACGAACGCUGGCGGCGUGCUUAACACAUGCAAGUCGAACGGAAAGGCCCUGCUUUUGUGGGGUGCUCGAGUGGCGAACGGGUGAGUAACACGUGAGUAACCUGCCCUUGACUUUGGGAUAACUUCAGGAAACUGGGGCUAAUACCGGAUAGGAGCUCCUGCUGCAUGGUGGGGGUUGGAAAGUUUCGGCGGUUGGGGAUGGACUCGCGGCUUAUCAGCUUGUUGGUGGGGUAGUGGCUUACCAAGGCUUUGACGGGUAGCCGGCCUGAGAGGGUGACCGGCCACAUUGGGACUGAGAUACGGCCCAGACUCCUACGGGAGGCAGCAGUGGGGAAUAUUGCACAAUGGGCGGAAGCCUGAUGCAGCAACGCCGCGUGCGGGAUGACGGCCUUCGGGUUGUAAACCGCUUUCGCCUGUGACGAAGCGUGAGUGACGGUAAUGGGUAAAGAAGCACCGGCUAACUACGUGCCAGCAGCCGCGGUGAUACGUAGGGUGCGAGCGUUGUCCGGAUUUAUUGGGCGUAAAGGGCUCGUAGGUGGUUGAUCGCGUCGGAAGUGUAAUCUUGGGGCUUAACCCUGAGCGUGCUUUCGAUACGGGUUGACUUGAGGAAGGUAGGGGAGAGUGGAAUUCCUGGUGGAGCGGUGGAAUGCGCUGAUAUCAGGAGGAACACCAGUGGCGAAGGCGGUUCUCUGGGCCUUUCCUGACGCUGAGGAGCGAAAGCGUGGGGAGCGAACAGGCUUAGAUACCCUGGUAGUCCACGCUGUAAACGGUGGGUACUAGGUGUGGGGUCCAUUCCACGGGUUCCGUGCCGUAGCUAACGCUUUAAGUACCCCGCCUGGGGAGUACGGCCGCAAGGCUAAAACUCAAAGGAAUUGACGGGGCCCCGCACAAGCGGCGGAGCAUGCGGAUUAAUUCGAUGCAACGCGUAGAACCUUACCUGGGUUUGACAUGGAUCGGGAGUGCUCAGAGAUGGGUGUGCCUCCUUUGGGGUCGGUUCACAGGUGGUGCAUGGCUGUCGUCAGCUCGUGUCGUGAGAUGUUGGGUUAAGUCCCGCAACGAGCGCAACCCUUGUUCACUGUUGCCAGCACGUUAUGGUGGGGACUCAGUGGAGACCGCCGGGGUCAACUCGGAGGAAGGUGGGGAUGACGUCAAGUCAUCAUGCCCCUUAUGUCCAGGGCUUCACGCAUGCUACAAUGGCUGGUACAGAGAGUGGCGAGCCUGUGAGGGUGAGCGAAUCUCGGAAAGCCGGUCUCAGUUCGGAUUGGGGUCUGCAACUCGACCUCAUGAAGUCGGAGUCGCUAGUAAUCGCAGAUCAGCAACGCUGCGGUGAAUACGUUCCCGGGGCU
Molecule: ribosomal RNA, 1346 nt
Filed under: uncultured bacterium
Lineage: Bacteria
Description: partial 16S ribosomal RNA
Rfam family: Bacterial small subunit ribosomal RNA
Source: RNAcentral